CUCAACGUAUUAGGCUUUCGGGGGAGUACUGCCAGACUUGGAACCGGGAGAGGUAAGAGGUACUACAGGGGUAGGAGUGAAAUCUUGUAAUCCCUGUGGGACCACCUGUGGCGAAGGCGUCUUACCAGAACGGGUUCGACGGUGAGGGACGAAAGCUGGGGGGCACGAACCGGAUUAGAUACCCGGGUAGUCCCAGCCGUAAACGAUGCUCGCUAGGUGUCAGGCAUGGCGCGACCGUGUCUGGUGCCGCAGGGAAGCCGUGAAGCGAGCCACCUGGGAAGUACGGCCGCAAGGCUGAAACUUAAAGGAAUUGGCGGGGGAGCACAACAACGGGUGGAGCCCUGCGGUUUAAUUGGACUCAACGCCGGACAACUCACCGGGGGCGACAGCAAUAUGUAGGCCAAGCUGAAGACUUUGCCUGAAUCGCUGAGAAGAGGUGCAUGG
This 444-nucleotide ribosomal RNA is filed under the name uncultured archaeon. RNAcentral describes it as "bacterial SSU rRNA". It matches the Rfam family "Archaeal small subunit ribosomal RNA", at positions 558 to 997 of the family's 1478-position model. The record is from RNAcentral.